Tarenaya hassleriana is the source of this 249-nucleotide long non-coding RNA. RefSeq lists it as uncharacterized. The record is from RefSeq and is a predicted model, not a curated record. The transcript is spliced from 3 exons. NCBI's taxonomy places the organism in Eukaryota, Viridiplantae, Streptophyta, Magnoliopsida, Brassicales, Cleomaceae.
AUAAUUGAACCGAACCGAACAGUGAAAUAGGAAAUGGAUUCCGGGAAAAUAGCGAGAAAAUCUCCUGCAGAGGCCGAGAAGAAGAGGAAGGUAAAGAAUGGCGAAGAAAGCUUCCACUUCAUCAAAAUUCUUCCGCCUCCAAUCGGGAGGAAUUUCGUAAGGAAUAUCAAGAGAAGAUUCUAGAUGUCAAGUCGAUGCACGAGAUUGGGAAGGCAUGUGGAGGGAAAUGGAAAACAAUGACCUAUGAGG